RNA transcript from Oreochromis aureus, 1703 nucleotides. RefSeq lists it as uncharacterized. The transcript is spliced from 6 exons. The record is from RefSeq and is a predicted model, not a curated record. Lineage: Eukaryota; Metazoa; Chordata; Actinopteri; Cichliformes; Cichlidae.
AAGGGUAGCUCUCCUGCGGGGUCAGCAACAGUAUUUUUUUCGUGCUCAAAUUGUCCAGGAAAAGGCUACAAUAGCAGCUAUGAGGUCGCCCAACUCAUCGCAAGACAUGGCAAGCCUUUUUCAGACCUCAACCUCAUAAAACACUGCCUCGUUAAAGUCACCGAAAUAAUGUGCCCGGAAAAAGUGCAGGACUUCAACAACGUCAGCAUGUCCAGAAAUACAGUUGUGCGACGCACUGAAGACUCGUCAGCCAACAUCAAACUGCAACUGUCCGAUAAAGCUGUGCUUUUGAUUUUUACUCCAUCGCAUGCGAUCCGAGCACUGAUGCCACAGACACCGCACAGCUGCUAAUUUUUUUUUGCGGGGAGUGGACGAGAGCAUGAGCGCUUUAGGUUUAGGGUUUUGUUAAGCUUGUGGGUACAACAGCAGGAGGAGGAGGGACACGGGUGUGUGACUAAGUUUAUUCAGCCGGAUCCGGAUUAUUUUUCUUUUCUUUGCGAGCGUGUUUCCCUCUUUGCUGAAACCAUGAUGUGGUCCUUCUUCUUCUUUGGUUUAUUCAUCGCGUGUACAGGAAACCCUGCAAGUUCCUCCUGUUCAUUAAAAUGAGUCCCUCUAGAGUUGUGGUGGAAUUUGGAGGCUCCUUUUCAGCCAACUGCACCUCACUAUCUAACGAUACCGAAGGAAUGGGCUGGGAGUCUCCAUAUGGAGGAGUGGACCUUACCCAGGAUGUCACUUCUCUUCCCUUUAAAAUUCACUCUGUGCCAGAGUGGGAGAUAGGACCAAUAUGUUAUACGAAUUCCCGUGAUGGUGGUCAGUGUACACAAGUGUUACCAGUCACUGUUUAUAAAAUGCCAGACAGUGUGUCAUUGAGACAGAAUUCAACUACAGUGAAAGAAGGUGAACAGUUUGCCAUACAUUGUGACAUUGUUAAUGUUGCACCAGCAAGAAAUCUCUCUGUGCUUUGGCACAAAGGAAAUAAGAUCUUAAAUUCUGAGACAUUUGAUGACUCCAGACCAUCUCCAGUCAGUAAGUCAUCUGUCCUCACUCUGACUGCUCAUGGAGGUGAUGAUGGAGCUGAGAUCUGGUGUGAAGCAAAACUAAACCUGUGGCCAGGAGAACAAGGUCCAACCAUGAUGCGCUCAAAGUCACAUAGAGUGACUGUACUCUGGGCUCGAACAACCUUUGGAGUCAUGCUGGCAGUAGGUGUGGCCGUUGGAGUUUUGCUCCUCAUUGCUGGUGCAUUUUUUGUGACACCCAAUGGCACAUUCUCUUUCAACAAAAGCCGCUAUCAACCAGGAACUCCCUCAGGAUGAGUAUAAGAAAAUCCUGAAGGAGAAUAUGCAGCCCUGAACCUCAAGCAUGAUUGGAUUGUGCAGCAGAUCCAGAACAGACCAGCAUGUCCACCUCUGAAUGGCUACAGAAAAAAAUACAAUAAUAAAUUAAGGCACCGUCAAACUCACAGGAAAUGCAAAGCAUUUAUAAACUGCCUUUCCUUAUCACCUGUCCUGACAGCAGUGCACACCGCAGUUUUCUUAUUUAACUUCACUCUUCCAUAUAUGCCAUAUUCAAUGUCUGUAUGAAAUGUAUAUUCAGUUUAAUAUUUGAUGUAAAUCCAAAACUUUAUAUUUAUUUAUGAGAAAAAGUAAAGCCUGAAUAACUUAGUGUUGAAAAUAAACCGCACACUGAUGUGUUAAUAAUCCGAA